UAGGGUCGCAUGAUGAUUUUACGCAUAGUUCAAAUGAUCGUGUAUACUACUAUAUGAUUAAACAUUCGAAGGUCUUUUGCUCCUGUUCGGCGACCUCG
Rhododendron vialii is the source of this 98-nucleotide small nucleolar RNA. RefSeq annotates it as small nucleolar RNA snR60/Z15/Z230/Z193/J17. NCBI's taxonomy places the organism in Eukaryota, Viridiplantae, Streptophyta, Magnoliopsida, Ericales, Ericaceae. The transcript has a single exon. The record is from RefSeq and is a predicted model, not a curated record.